Molecule: ribosomal RNA, 445 nt
Filed under: uncultured bacterium
Lineage: Bacteria
Description: bacterial SSU rRNA
Rfam family: Bacterial small subunit ribosomal RNA
Source: RNAcentral
GUAAGGAAUAUUGGACAAUGGACGCAAGUCUGAUCCAGCCAUGCCGCGUGAAGGAUUAAGGUCCUCUGGAUUGUAAACUUCUUUUAUAAGGGACGAAAAAAGGCUUUUCUAAGUCGUCUGACGGUACCUUAUGAAUAAGCACCGGCUAACUCCGUGCCAGCAGCCGCGGUAAUACGGAGGGUGCAAGCGUUAUCCGGAUUCACUGGGUUUAAAGGGUGCGUAGGCGGGCAGGUAAGUCAGUGUUGAAAUCCUAGAGCUUAACUCUAGAACUGCCAUUGAUACUAUCUGUCUUGAAUAUUGUGGUGGUAAGCGGAAUAUGGCAUGUAGCGGUGAAAUGCUUAGAUAUGACAUAGAACACCUAUUGCGAAGGCAGCUUACUACGCAUAUAUUAACGCUGAGGCACGAAAGCGUGGGGAUCAAACAGGAUUAGAAACCCCGGUAGUCC